This 383-nucleotide unclassified non-coding RNA is filed under the name Hevea brasiliensis (rubber tree). The record is from RNAcentral. Lineage: Eukaryota; Viridiplantae; Streptophyta; Magnoliopsida; Malpighiales; Euphorbiaceae.
GUUUGCACAGUCUCCUAUAAUCCUUUUGUUCCUAGUCUUCUUGCAACUGGAUCUACAGAUAAAAUGGUAAAACUUUGGGAUUUGUCGAACAACCAACCAUCAUGUGUAGCAUCAAAGAAUCCUAAAGCAGGAGCCGUCUUUUCCAUUUCCUUCUCAGAGGACAGCCCUUUCUUGCUUGCUGUAGGGGGUUCAAAGGGCAAACUGGAAUUGUGGGACACCUUAUCAGAUGCUGGGGUCUCUAAAAGAUUUGGGAAUUACAGCAACCAAAAUGGACCUCAUCUUGGGACAUGAUUGCAAGUGGAAGAUAUAAUUGUUUUUCAACGAUAGAAUGUGUAAUUAUCCGAGAAGGAUGUACAUUUCUUCCAAAAGUAAUGUUCAUUAUA